Molecule: long non-coding RNA, 340 nt
Organism: Pollicipes pollicipes
Lineage: Eukaryota; Metazoa; Arthropoda; Thecostraca; Pollicipedomorpha; Pollicipedidae
Exons: 3
Source: RefSeq, a predicted model, not a curated record
GUAGCGGGCGUGGUGCGGUACAGUGGGAAAAACAUCGGCGGCAUCAGCUCACCCAGGUACCGGAGAUGCCCUGUGCUGUCAGCCAACCUGAUGGAAAGCUGUUCUUCUGUGUCUGCAGCAUGACGAAGGUGCGAAGAUGACACAGCGCGACUGCGAAUGGCUAUACUGUCAUCGGAGCUGCUGCGGCUUUCGAAUGCAGCGACGUUUCAUCACGACAGUGGUGGUCCUCCUGACAUGUACUGCGCUGUACCUUCACUUCGUCGCGCCAAACCGCUCGCGCGCGGCGGGGCCGGCUCCCGACGGCUGUGCUGCCGUCUACCGGCUGACGGUGGCACUACAG